This 357-nucleotide long non-coding RNA is filed under the name Vigna radiata. Its description in RNAcentral is "long non-coding RNA (VRAD_LNC004400)". The record is from RNAcentral. Lineage: Eukaryota; Viridiplantae; Streptophyta; Magnoliopsida; Fabales; Fabaceae.
AUUGCUUUCAGCUUGUGCCUCUAUUGGGGCAUUGCUCCAUGGGAAAGAAACUCAUUGUUAUGCAAUCAAAUUUAUUCUCGGAUUAGAUGGACCUGAUCCUGGGGACGACGAUUUGAAGGUGAUUAAUGGUCUCAUUGACAUGUAUGCUAAAUGCCAAAACACAGAGGUGGCUAGAAAAAUGUUUGAUUCAGUGUCUUCAAAAGAUAGAGAUGUGGUUACCUGGACUGUGAUGAUUGGUGGGUAUGCCCAACAUGGUGAUGCAAAUCAUGCUCUACAGCUUUUCUCCGAAAUGUUUUAUGAAUCUAUAAAGCCUAAUGAUUUCACUUUAUCAUGUGCCCUUGUGGCCUGUGCUCGUUU